GUAGAUAGGCUGGGGGUGGAAGUGCAGCAAUGCAUGGAGCUGACCAGUACUAAUCGGUCGAGGGCUUAUCCAA
This 73-nucleotide ribosomal RNA is filed under the name Paenibacillus taichungensis. Its description in RNAcentral is "partial 23S ribosomal RNA". The record is from RNAcentral. Lineage: Bacteria; Bacillati; Bacillota; Bacilli; Caryophanales; Paenibacillaceae.